UGGCUCAUUAAAUCACACCUCAUGUACGGGAUAGUYUCAGUUUCUUGGAUAACUGCGGUAAUUUUGGAGCUAAUACAUUCGAWCGACGCCCGACUCAMGGAGGGGUGUUUUUAUUAGAUCAAAACCAAACCGCUUCGGCGGUCYCUUUGGUGAUUSUGAAUAAUUUUGGGCUGAUCGCACGGUCAUGCACCGGCGACGUAUCCUUCCAAGGUGUGCCCUAUCAACUGUCGACUGUGGCAUAGACGCCCACAGUGGUUUUGACGGGUAACGGGGAAUUAGGGUUCGCUUCCGGAGAGGGAGCCUGAGAAACGGCUACCACUUCUAAGGAAGGCAGCAGGCACGCAAWUUACC
This 351-nucleotide ribosomal RNA is filed under the name uncultured marine eukaryote. RNAcentral's name for it is "SSU rRNA". It matches the Rfam family "Eukaryotic small subunit ribosomal RNA", at positions 94 to 447 of the family's 1831-position model. The record is from RNAcentral.